Molecule: ribosomal RNA, 515 nt
Filed under: uncultured bacterium
Lineage: Bacteria
Description: bacterial SSU rRNA
Rfam family: Bacterial small subunit ribosomal RNA
Source: RNAcentral
GAUCAUGGCUCAGGAUGAACGCUAGCUACAGGCUAACACAUGCAAGUCGAGGGGCAGCAUUGGAGUAGCAAUACUUCAGAUGGCGACCGGCGCACGGGUGAGUAACACGUAUCCAACCUGCCGCUUAACUCGGGGAUAGCCUUUCGAAAGAAAGAUUAAUACCCGAUGGUAUAAAGAGUUCGCAUGUUCUCUUUAUUAAAGAAUUUCGGUAAGCGAUGGGGAUGCGUUCCAUUAGAUAGUUGGCGGGGUAACGGCCCACCAAGUCUACGAUGGAUAGGGGGUUCUGAGAGGAAGGUCCCCCACAUUGGAACUGAGACACGGUCCAAACUCCUACGGGAGGCAGCAGUGAGGAAUAUUGGUCAAUGGACGAGAGUCUGAACCAGCCAAAAGUAGGCGUGAAGGAUGACUGCCCUAUGGGUUGUAAACUUCUUUUAUAAGGGAAUAAAGUGAGGGACGUGUCCCUUUUUGUAUGUACCUUAUGAAUAAGGAUCGGCUAACUCCGUGCCAGCCGCCGC